CAGGAUGUGAACCACCGGCAAGGAGGGA
RNAcentral lists this non-coding RNA (28 nucleotides) under Cricetulus griseus (Chinese hamster). The record is from RNAcentral. Lineage: Eukaryota; Metazoa; Chordata; Mammalia; Rodentia; Cricetidae.